AAGACAGAGGUCGUUGGGUUGCUGAACCUGGUAUUGACAAGAAAGCAUCUGCUUUCAUUGCUAGAUUCUAUGAAAACCGUAUCACUGAUUCUGAGCAACAAAUUGCAUCUUAAGAUUUUAUUUAUUUAUUUAUUAAACUCCUUCUUCUUCAUUAAUGUUGUUUUCCAAUAAUCCCCUCCCCAAAUGUAAUCUAAUGUAAUGUAAUGCUUAGUCAGUGUUAUAAUCUGAGGUAUGAAUUCAAACAUGCUAUAGCUGCAAUAAUGUGUUUUGUUAUUACUUAUUAAUAAAUAAUAUAAAAUCACAUUCAUUUUUUUUUGUUUUGUUUUGUUUUGAUAUCUUAUAUUCUUAUCAAUCCUUCUUUUUUUUUUAUUUUAUAUACUACUUAGUUCUUGCACUAGAUAUAAGCCUUGAUCGCGACAUCGUUGGCAAGGAACAGAGUUGGCGCGGUCGAUUAUUUGAGAAAAUUUAAUAUCUUGACUUCAUUACAAGAAAGUAGAGCUUCUGUCACUAAUUCACUGCAUCAACUAAUUUUUGAUUAGGCCAUUCAUAGAAGCUAUAUAUUAUCUCAAAAUGACUUGAUUAAGAUUACUAAACCAGAUUACACAUGCAAGGAAGAACUCAAGCAAUUUGUAUUACAUUCUUGAUAUUUAUAAAUAAUAUUUUUUGGUACAACUAUUUCUUCUAUUACUUAGGUAUGCCAGUCCUGUUUUAUUUUGGUUCAUUUUUUUUUUAUGUUGUUAAGGGGAUCUUUAGAGUUUAGGUAAUUUAAUGUAAU
Molecule: long non-coding RNA, 775 nt
Filed under: Trifolium pratense (red clover)
Lineage: Eukaryota; Viridiplantae; Streptophyta; Magnoliopsida; Fabales; Fabaceae
Description: long non-coding RNA (TPRA_LNC001034)
Source: RNAcentral